AAUAUAUUGUGCAUACCUAACACAGUUUAUGUUAUCUUAAGUUAUAUGAACGUUAAAUUCGAUGUUGAAGGAUGUUUUUAUCGAUUACCAUCGUAAUUUUUUUUUUUUUCCUUUUUUUCUUCGUGUGCAACUCAGCAGCCAUUCUGGUUUGUCUCGCGAUUGUUUUUAAUAAUUUUUCGUCAUUGACCUUGCUAGGAAGCAUUCGUUUUGGAUUAUCUGCAAGUAAUCGCGUACGAGAUAACCACGUCACGGGAGUGUUUUGUACUCUUUUUUUUUUUUUUCGUAGCUGAAACCUUGACAUCUAGAAACCUCCGACCUUGAUGACGCUGAAAACAUCUUCAAUUACUUCGGUUUCUCGUCGUGUUUUCUUUGUCUCGUUUUUCCUUUAUCUUCUAUUUAUUGUUUUGCAUCAAAUGCGUCGUUUAGGUGGAAAAAAAAGACCACUUUCUGUACAUAAUAACCGCACUUUCGGCUCUUUUUUUUUUUUUUCUAAACUAAAAUUGGAAAUGUGCCAAACGUCUAUUAUGGCAAUUCGCGAAUCCAUCGAUGUGACUUCUUCUUCUUCUUUGAUAGAAGUUUUUCUCCAUUUUUUUUUAAUUUCUAGAACGAAAAUGCGGAAUUGGUUUUCAAAUUACUUGUAGAAAUAAGCGCGAUGAAUUAUUUACUAGCAAAAUUUUGCGGAUUUUUCCGGAAGAUGCACGAUUAUCAUCUCGCAAUGUUUUAAGUAGGCAUUUAAUUUUUGGAUUUCUACUUUCUCUCGGCUUCACUGUGUGUGUAAGCGAGCUUCUGUAACGCUUUAGCCACAAAUUAGAUGCUAGGGGAAGGGGAAAAAAAAGGAAGGAAAACAAUUGAUGUAGACGUGUCUGACGGACCACCU
Molecule: long non-coding RNA, 877 nt
Filed under: Androctonus crassicauda
Lineage: Eukaryota; Metazoa; Arthropoda; Arachnida; Scorpiones; Buthidae
Source: RNAcentral